This is a long non-coding RNA of Manis pentadactyla (Chinese pangolin), 1085 nucleotides long. RefSeq lists it as uncharacterized. The transcript has 2 exons. The record is from RefSeq and is a predicted model, not a curated record. NCBI's taxonomy places the organism in Eukaryota, Metazoa, Chordata, Mammalia, Pholidota, Manidae.
AUGGUUAGCACACAAUAUAGGGGGGGCACGGGGAAGGCUGUACAACACAGAGAAGUCAAGUAGUGACUCUAUAGCAUCUUACUAUGCUAAUGGACAGUGACUAUAAUGGGGUAUGUGGUGGGAACUGGAUGAUGGGGAAAGUCUGGUAACAAUAAUGUUGCUCAUGUAAUUGUAGAUUAAUGAUACCAAAAAAAAAUUAAAUGAAGGUGAAUAAAGAUUUUUCAGGAAAAAAAAAAAGAACCAAAAGUAAAGUCUUCCCAUUAAAACUAUAUAGUAACCACAGCCCAGUAAUAUACACCAUAAAAAUAUUUGCUAGGAAAAAGUUAGUAUAAAACAGACAAAAUGCUGAGAAAAACCAGUCAUCCCAAAUUUGAAGCAGGUUACACAUUUCUCUUCCAGAUACAGGAAGGGAUUCUGUGUGCUGCCUUAGUGGUCCUGGGAGAGAAGUGGCAGCUGGGCUGAGCACUGCGGGACGCAUUUGGAGCCCAUUUCCACUCUGCACAGUUGCACACAGGGGAGGUGGGAACCACGUGGCUAUGCAAGUUAGGGCCAGAAAGAUAGCAGCCCUUAAAAUUCACAAUUCCACUAAUUGGACCAUGUGCAUUUAUUUAGUCUACCAUACUUCCGCUGUCUGUAAUAUGCCAUCAGUUGCAAGAUGAAUUUCUAUAUACGACCUAUUAUAAUGUGGGUGGAAAGGCCUAUUGUUCUUUUUUAGAUACCAGAUUCUCUUCUCAGUCUCAGAGAUGUUUUUAAAAAUAUAAUUGAUACACAAUAUUAUACUGGUUUCAGGUGUACAACAGUCAGCAACUUACACAUUACUAAAUUCUUACCAUGAUAACUGAAGUUACCAUCUGUCAUCACACAAAGAUAGUGUUAUUGACUGUAUUCCCUAUGCUGUACUUUAUCCCCAUGAGUAGUUUGUUUUAUACUUGAAAGUUUGUACCUCUAUUGUCCCUUCUAACUAUUUUGUCCAUCUCCCCAAACCCCUCCCCAGUGACAAACACCAGUCUUUUCCCCAUAUUUAUGAAUGUUUGUUUUAUUUGUUCAUUUGUUUUUUAUAUUCCACAUAAAAGUGACAUUACAUG